GUAUCAAAAGUUUUAAAAAAAGACCAUGUCAAAAUUGAGUUUCCUAAAGUUUCAUGGUAGCUUUUCAGCCAAGCCAACAUCUCCGCGAAAAAAUAUAGCUCAAAAGAACAGCUUCAAGUUGAGAGAGACAUCGAGUACCGAAAUGAGUUUCCAACCAAAGAAAGAUGAAAUGAAAUGGGUGUUUGAGAAAUUUGACACAAACAAAGAUGGCAAGAUUAGUCUGGAAGAGUAUAAAGCAGCUGCAAAAUCUUUGGAUAAGGGGAUUGGGGAUCCUGAUGCAGUGAAAGCAUUUAACGUGAUGGACUCUGACAAAGAUGGCUUCAUAGACUUUAAAGAGUUCAUGGAAAUGUUCAAUGGAGAAAACAAUAAGAUAAAAGAAGAGGAGAUUAAGAGUGCUUUUCAAGUAUUUGAUAUAAAUGGAGAUGGGAAAAUCAGUGCUGAGGAAUUGUCUCAAAUAUUUAAGAGGUUAGGAGAGAGUUGCAGCCUUAGUGCUUGUAAGAAAAUGGUGAAAGGUGUCGAUGGUGAUGGAGAUGGUCUUAUUGAUUUGAAUGAGUUUACAAGAAUGAUGAUGAAUGGCAAGAAAUGUGCCUAAGUCAUCAUACUUUUCCGGUUUGGAGGAGCAUAAUCUGGUUUAAUGUUUCUCAAGUUUAUGUCUAUCUUAAAUAUAUCUAGUUUUUUUGUUUAUUAGUUUUGUUUUUCUUUUAUGAGUGAUGAAUAAAUUUUUUUGGUUAAAUGCUUGGUGAUUUUCAUUCUUUGAUAGUUACUCGUUUCUUGUUUUGAUACAAAUAUAUUCAAUGUUAUUCUGUCAAAUUCCUGAUGACACUCAAAUGCGUCUCCAAACCCUGGAAUUGACUUAUUUCCUGAGAUCGCAAGUUCCGCAGAAAACACACACCUUCUCAGCUCAAGAAUGAACCCCAAACUCAUUCUAACCGACAGAUGCAUACCAGAUUAUCCUCUCGGUUUAUUCUUCACUUAUGAGAAUGGUUGCCUCUUGCGAUGGUAUCCUUUGUUUAAACCUAAUAAACGAUUAUAGCACUGAAACCAAACUUUAUUCACUUUGUUUUGUGGGAUUGCUUGUGCAUCCUUGCUGGAUUUGUUGGUUUCCGAUAUUUGUGCAUUAAAUUCAACUGCAACUUUAUGUCAAACUUCGGUUCCUGUUAUGUUUUGUAUGUUUUUACUUUAUCAAUCGAUAUGUCCAACAUGGAAAACUGUUGUGUUUGUUUCAUUUAUCUGUUUGUUAGAGUUAUUUGUUCCUUCGUUGUGCAUUACAUUUUAUACAACCUACAAUCAUGCAUUGCAUUAGAUGGUGAGUGGUUUGGUUUUCUAAGAUUGGAAUAUGUAUUUAGAUGUUUACUAACUCAAUAUUAUGUUUGUUAGCGUAUCUGCUACCUGCUGCACAAAUCCUGUUGUGGCAGUGGUUAGAACUUAGAACUCAAUCAGAACCUCGUCUAAGUCUUGCUUGGUCAUCACAAUAUAUCAUAUCGAUUCCCUAGGCUCCCUCCCUUUCUUCAUUUCAUCAUCUGCUUUGACAUUAUUACUAAUCGUUUUCAUGUCGGUCAGUUGAAUCUCACCUCUCUAUAUCUCGAUACUCAUCUGUUUAGUGGGUCUAUGGUCUUCCAAAGUUAGGAAGGAUGAAAAGUGUGACUCUAUGAAACUUAUUUCCUAUUUUGCUUUAUGUCCUGUUUGAAUGUUAGAUGUCUUAUGUUGAGCUUUGGAGACUUGAAUUAUAUUAUGUUUGAAAUAUUUAUAGCAAUGAACUUUGAUGAUCAGUACAGAAUUUGUGUUUAAUUCUAUUCUGUGCAUUCUUCUAUGUUCUACUUUUCAUAUGUGUAGUGCUUGAAUUGUUAUAGCGUUUUGGGGAUGGCUGCUAUGCUACAUAAGCUCAAUAUCAAUAUAUAAUAGGCUAUGGGCUUAAAUUUGAACAGCACGAUUCAGUGAACUGAUCAAAAUAAUUUGCCGAAGUCUGUAAUUUUUUAAGAUGGGUGGCAAAUAAGAAACAAGAAGUAUGUAAAACUGGAUAUUUUAAACCUGGUUUUGUACAUAUUCGUAGGUUACAAAAACCAGUUACUAAGUUCACACCAGGCUUUGGAAAAAAAAAUAGUUUUUAAACUGAUUCCUAAAACCACCUGAUUUUAUAAGGAGUUUGGUUAUGGUUUAAAUCCAACUCAAUUUGGUUUGAUAUUGCUUUGGUGUAAGUAGAAGUCUGUCUUUGUGUAGUUUUGAUGAAAUAUAUGCCUUCACAAAAUGUUCUGUACUCAUUGAAGGAUUCGCCAAAACUUUGGUAUACAAAAGUAACAAAUUAAUAGUGACAUGAGAAUAGGAUUCAACUCAGCAAGCGGGGCAUUAUUUGUGUUGAAUACUAAAAGUUCAAAAGGAAUCAUCCAACAUAUAUGCAUUUCCUUUUCAACUUACACCGUGAGUCAUAAUUCAUAAGUGAACUUUGAUCAAAUCCCUUCCACCAUAAAGUUAUUCUAACUUUCCCAAAUCAGUGUCUAUCAAUGACCUAAUAACUUUAAACACAAGUAAUUACAUCCACAACUCUAAGAAUCUAGUAUAAAGGACACAAACUUUUAGUUUAAAAGCUCUUGGAAUAAGAACAAAUCUUUAUUCAGAUUCCACUACUUUUCCUCUACAAAUCAUAUCUAGAGCCUUCCAAGAGUAGGAGACUUAUGAAAUCUAUAUAAACAAGUCAUAAUAUAGUUGUCCUCAUAAUACAAAUUCAUACUAAAGCCAAAUUGUAUCAAAAGUCCUUAGAAAAUUAAAAUACCAUGUCAAAAUUGAGUUUUCUAAAGCUUCAUGGUAGCUUUUCAGCCAAGCCAAUAUCUCCGCGAAAAAAUAUAGCCGAACAGAACAGCUUCAAGUUGAGAGAGACAUCGAAUGCUGAAAUGAGUUUCCAACCAAAGAAAGAUGAAAUGAAAUGGGUGUUUGAGAAAUUCGACAAAAACAAAGAUGGCAAGAUUAGUCUGGAAGAGUAUAAAGCAGCUGCAAAAGCUUUGGAUAAGGGGAUUAUUUGUGACAAUGAUGCAGUGAAAGCAUUUAAA
This 3041-nucleotide long non-coding RNA is filed under the name Medicago truncatula (barrel medic). RNAcentral describes it as "long non-coding RNA (MTRU_LNC002830)". Lineage: Eukaryota; Viridiplantae; Streptophyta; Magnoliopsida; Fabales; Fabaceae. The record is from RNAcentral.